UUUAACGGCCGCGGUACUUUGACCGUGCGAAGGUAGCGUAAUCACUUGUCUUUUAAAUGGAGACCUGUAUGAAUGGCAAAACGAGGGCUAAGCUGUCUCCUCUUUCCAGUCAAUGAAAUUGAUCUCCCCGUGAAGAAGCGGGGAUAUAAACAUAAGACGAGAAGACCCUAUGGAGCUUUAGACCCCCGAGCAGACUAUGUUAAAAACCCUUAAUGCAAGGUAGGAACAAAAUACCCCCUGCUCAGGUGUCUUCGGUUGGGGCGACCACGGGGAAAUAAAAAACCCCCACGCGGAGUGGAAACACACCUUCUAAAACUAAGAGCUCCCGCUCUAAUUAACAGAAUUUCUGACCACAGAGAUCCGGCAAAGCCGAUCAACGGAACGAGUUACCCUAGGGAUAACAGCGCAAUCCCCUUCUAGAGUCCCUAUCGACGGGGGGGUUUACGACCUCGAUGUUGGAUCAGGACAUCCUAAUGGUG
This 479-nucleotide ribosomal RNA is filed under the name Gigantactis vanhoeffeni. RNAcentral's name for it is "partial 16S ribosomal RNA". It matches the Rfam family "Bacterial large subunit ribosomal RNA", at positions 1923 to 2555 of the family's 2925-position model. Lineage: Eukaryota; Metazoa; Chordata; Actinopteri; Lophiiformes; Gigantactinidae. The record is from RNAcentral.